GAAAAUGGAAGACAUUUAGAAGAAAGGAUUGGAUUCAUGAAAUAAGAGCGAUCUUCCAAGAAAGGUAUCGCCCGGACAGGUAUAUUAGAACAGAAAUUCAGAGAGAGAAGAGGAGGGAUAUCUUUUUUGACGUCAUUUCAUUCUCUCUUUUCACUGGACAAUGGCAACUAUAAUAAUGAUAGCAUCUUGUGUUAGCUUUAAUUGUAUAGUUUUCUCAAUUGGGAAGAAUAUUAAGACAAUGAAGAAAAUCAUUCUGUACUUGUGCUUGUUUUUACUUUUCAAAAAAACUGUUGCUGAUGAUGCG
Centruroides sculpturatus (bark scorpion) is the source of this 304-nucleotide long non-coding RNA. RefSeq lists it as uncharacterized. The transcript is spliced from 3 exons. Lineage: Eukaryota; Metazoa; Arthropoda; Arachnida; Scorpiones; Buthidae. The record is from RefSeq and is a predicted model, not a curated record.